RNAcentral lists this non-coding RNA (29 nucleotides) under Rattus norvegicus (Norway rat). The record is from RNAcentral. Lineage: Eukaryota; Metazoa; Chordata; Mammalia; Rodentia; Muridae.
UAUUUCAUUUUUUCAUUCAUCUGGUGCUG